UUUUUUUUUUCUUUUUCUUUUCUAAAAUGUUUAUCCUGUGCAGAAUCUAUGACCGAGAUUACAUCAAGUUCCGUGGCCAAAACUGCCCAAACUUCCCCUACUCGGACUACACUGAUAAGAUCCCCCAUAUAAACAUUUCCACCAAAGUUCUUUGGAAAGCUAACACUUCCAUUUUCUCUGCAGCGGCUCAAUCUGUCUGACAAAGUACAUGCUACGUAACAUGAGUCCCGGCGAGUCAUUCCUCUGGUUUACACCUGAACUUCUUGGAGAUGACGUUGGCUCUCCAUGCACGAGGCAGACUUGGCCUCGAGCUUCAAACUAUUGCGGAGUCUAUCGUCUCAAAAGGUCAGAAAGUCCUUUGAAGGUAACUAGUAAGCCUUCCUCUAAACCUGACCAUCUAGGAUGUGAAAUACAACGUUGCCUGAUCUGAAGGCAACAAUAUAAUCCAGAGCCAACACUCAAUCUUUUGAUUCCAACACUCUGGUUUUUAUGUCUUUUCUCUGCUGGUUUGCUUCGAGUGUCUCUUGUCAAGAUGGCGCUUCGGGACCAGCUAGUGCCGUGGAAUUAAAGUUCCAGGCUUACGGCGAGGAGGCCACGCUCGGGUGCUGAUUGCGGCCCAGCAUGGCGUCACCGUGUGGCAGCCAGCGCCCCGACGCGCGACGAGAUCGAGGAGUUCUUCGUGGGAGUGGAGGAGAAGGAUGACAGCAGCAAGCGUUUUGUAGACAACUAAGCACGCUCUCCCUUUUCUGUUGCCUGGCUGCCGCUCUUACUUGGUUUGUUUCUCUGAUGCUUACUUGGUUUUUUUCUGUUUACGUGUUCGGUUGUGCUUGACGUGCGUGCUUGCUCUCCGCAACGCAGGUUACAAUUUUGAUGUUUUCAAUGUUCCCCUGUCUGGUCGUUUCGAAUGGGUACAUUUCCACCCUCGUUGCUCCUAAAUUAUUCGCACGCUACUCGCUACGAUGCGCUGCUGCAAGAGGAAAACUGGAGAAAAGGAAAGAGCAGGAAAAAAAAACCGUCUUGUUAGACUAGAGAGAGAGAGAGAGAGCUCCUAGAGAAGACCAUGCAUUGACACAGUCAUGUAACAGACUAAUGCCGUCAUGAUGUAUAGAAAAGAGAUGAGAAGUAAGGCAAGCAAGAAAAAGAGAUGUCAUACUCAUACCUUCCUUUGAGCCUUUGAGCCAGUUGAUUCUUUGCCAUCAUUGUUUUGUUUUUCUUCUCCUCUGGACUCUCAUACGAUUCGACUGGGUGAGUCUUUCAUUAUACGUUCCAAGAGAUGAACUUCGAUAUUUUGCUUGCUUGUUUUGUUUUUGUUUUGCAUUUCCAGGGUCAUGUAAGACACAAGAGGAGGCAGCAAGGUUCAAGAAAAACUCAAACCUCACUCGCUAAUUACUAAGAAUCUAACAAUGACCGAGCAGUCAUUAGAUUCUUUGGCAAGGCUAAAGCAGACAUGCCUCAGGUGAUUUGUUUGUAUUUCCUGAUUGAGAUACUGAGACGAUAUUACAGUGGAUCACUUUGAGCAAGGAAGAUUUUAUUUCCUACAUACGGAAUUCUGCACAGUCGAGCAGGAAAAGGAAGUUCAAAGUACAUACAGCUCCAAGAGCUGUAUACGAUAGGAGGUGGAGAGGAGGAUUGUGGUAAACGAAGCAAUGCCACACUGCAUAGAUGAGAAGACGAUCGGUGACUGUAUAGUAAACGAAGGGAUGCCACACGAUAUAGCUUGAAGCAUACAAGAGGAAUGAACGCUGAGGGUGCAAUGGAUGAGUCGAAUUUGGAGAAAGACAUUUAGCAUGCCAAACUCUCAUAUGUCAUUGUCUAUGAAUGAAUCCAGUCAAAAUUAACAUGGACCAUGCCACAGAGAGUAUAUGCCACUUCGGUAUACAAGUAUCCUUAAAAACAUACAUCAUUUGGUAUAAAAUUAACAAUCACUUGGUCAUCAAUUAGACAAUCAAACCAUCAAGAUACACAAUCAUAUUUUGGAUUUCUCUUGACCUAAGAAUGGGGGAAGCGUAGCCAGUUCAGCAAUAGAUUCUGAUGCUCUACCCACAUACUUCUUCAAGCUUCUCAUCAGCAGAUUUGAGUGUCGACUGUAAAGCAACUGUGAAGAAGGGUGUUCAGCUGCAGAAACUGGAUCACUCUGCCUCGCAAACCCGGUGAGAUGAAGCAGUGAGACACUGUCAUUGGGUUCACGCCGAAGGCUUGGCAAUCGUCCUUACAAAUGGCACAGGACAUAAUAUAGCAUUCAUGGCUUUGUUUGUGCAUAACAUUUGUGGAUUUUGCUUUUACAUCUGGAGUGGAUUUCUAACCCUUUGGCUCUAUUGUGCAAUCUAGAUUUGGACUUGCUCACAAAUCCUAGGAAGUAUCAUGUUUGUAUGUGCAAUUGAGUUUUUUAGUUUGGAAGUAUGUGUCAUGAAUUGCAGAACUUUUUCUAUGUUUAUGGUGUUGGAUAACUGAUUAAGUUAGUUGCGUGCUGAGAAAUAAUCUUGUUUAAACCAUAUAGCUUGGUCUAUAACUACAUGUUCUUUGUUGUAGGUUAUUUAUUCUUGCAAUGAACGUCUCCGCAAUAGUUGCUGUACUAGAGUUUGUCUACUCAAGUCCCGUCCUCAAAGCAACUAGAUCCUUGAGGCCUAUUUAUGCUUGAUAUUUCUGUUACGCAUUUCUAACUUCCAGAAUUUAUUUUCUAACACAAUUUUGUUUUUUCUUCCAUAAGAUAACAGAAGGCCACAACUGAACUGCUAAUCCGGCCACCAGCCUCUCAUUCUCACAGUCCUCGACAACGCACUCUUCAAAGAGAUCUGGCCCGAGCAGCAGGACAAAGCUCUGGACGAUCUAAACACCUGUGUGUCCCAGUCCACUACAACAACAGAGAAGGCAGUGAGUAUGCUGAGCAUUGACUCCACCUCAACAAAGUUCACUUGGGAGAGGGGUGACCAUAAGCUUCUCAAGUUGCUACCUAUCCCAGAGCAGCUUUCUAAGCUCGCUAUUUGCCGGGCAAAAGGGGAUCAAAUCUUUUUCAUUUCCAUGUUUCAUUUUAGCAUGUACAGUCCACUUCCAGCAAACUUUUGAUUGAGAAAGCUCUACAGCGACCUCGACUUGCUGCUGCUGGCCAUGAUCAAGGAGUGCCAAGAUCUAGCGAGAAACAAUAGAGGCCAGACCCAUGACUUACUGGGGCUGGAAACUCUUCUUUCGACAAUUGGCCCGUGAUGGAGGAGUGCAAGACCACCUACGUUGCUGGCCACAAGAUGAUGGCAACUCCCCUCACCUGGUCCGUGAUGGUUUUGCAUAUUGCUUUCAAGUUCAAGAUUUGUUUUUCCUGGCUAGAUCAACAUAAUUCUGGCUUUGGAGCUGUUUGAGAGGAUGAGCUAUGGACAAUAUAGCUAGAACAAUAGGGUUCUAUGUCAAGAAGCAUAUGAUUAAACAGACUCCUGGCAUACAUGAUAAAAUGCUAUCAAUGUAUGGAAAGUGUAAAGACAGACCUCGCCCACCAGCUCUGAAUAUCUUGAACCAAUCGUGAUUGUGCCACUGCAUCCUUGAUUAAAACAAAGUCUUCAAAUUAGAAAGGUGAAUGUGUGCCACUUACUUGACAGUAGCAGCCAGCUCCAGGGAAGGAAAUGGGCACUUGUCAAGCUCGUAACCACACAAGGAACCGACUCUUAGACUGCCAAAAUCCCCAAAUCUUCUGUUAGCGAGCUGAGAACUGGAGGAUUCGGGCUGGAGAAGUCGGCCUUACAUCCUCCACCGCUGCUACACAACUGCCGUAGCUCAACGACAAACCCCGAUAUAUAUAUAAUUCAUGUUUUGUGCACGGUGAGACUAUUUACUCCCGCAUGCUAGGUGAGACUAUGCUGUGCCAACUAGAAGACGAGGCUGUCGUCGGCACCGAGCUCUGUGUCGCCCCUCCGAGCCACCUCGAGGAUUCCGUCCGGAGGGCGCCAUAUGCCAUUUUGAGCAUACGAGUUUGGUCAAAAUGUUACUCCAAAUGUGACUAUUGAGACGCAAGAAUUUUUGGGAGAGAUUAUAUUUCUACUUACAAACGAAUUUGAUUAGAGAUAUACAGCAAAGUGAUUGAUUUUUACAAGAGGAACAGAUACAACAGGAGUGAGAACCAUCACAUUAGAAGAGAUGCAACACUCAAAGUCAAUUGCGGAACUUAUUCUAGAAUUCUUCUCCGAGGCCUCAUUUUCGAUGCAAGUAGAUGCCAUCGUAGAAUUCUUCAUACCUAUUUUCAACCUCUGAAAAACAUGGCUCUUGCAAGUCUAACAUUAUAUACUCUGGUGGUAAACAAGGUCUCUCCAUAGCAGACCUUGUUCUAUAGUCAGAAGAUAAAUUUUAACAAACAGGAUGGAUUGAUAACUGAUCUACAUGAAACAAAGUGUUGUCUCUCAUAGUAUGUCUAUGAGCAAGCUUAUAUUUUAAUGCAAGUAGCUGGCAUAGUAGAAUUCUUAAUUUUGAGGUAGAUUAUUUUUUCAAGCUCCCUUAGUGUGUGUGACUGCUUAGUUUGUGUGUGUGACUGCUUACCUAAUUAAACAACUCAAAAGUUUGUGUGUAAUUCUGUCACAGAUUGACAGUUCAUUUUGUCUUGGGUCACCAAGUAGAUUAUUAUAAAAGGAGAAGAUAAAGAAGUUGAGUAUGAUUACACCAUCAAAUUAGAAGAGAUACAACAAUUGUAUAACUUUUCUUCUCCAAAGAGUGUAAGUUUAUCAUCUUGCUCCCUCAUUAUUUCUUUCUUUAUGCAAGAUGAUUAACUUAUAUUCUUCAUGUUGCCGGAGAAGAUAAGUUCCACAAUUGCUGCAUCUCUUCUAAUUUAAUGUUGUAAUCAUUCUCAUAUUGUACAAAAUUAACUGUCAAUCUGUGACAGAGUUACUGUGUCCAAAGUAUCCAAGCACACAAACUUCAGAGUUGUUUAAUCAUGGUAGCGCAGCGAGGCUCUAACCUCAGCGAACAGAUGAACAUCACAGUGCGAAGCUCGGAUCACUGCAGAAGCUCCUCCUCGCCAGAUCUCCAUCGUGGGAAAAGACUCCUCGUAAGCAAUCACACUAAGGCCAGUACUAAACACUAGUGGUGUCUCCCCGAGCUCACAUUCGAUUUGUCAUACAUUCCAGUGGCACUGAAAGCCAUGGUGCAUAUCUUUUAAUGGGAGUGUACGUCAAAGGCCCCGAUGGUGAAAUGAGAGUGCUGAAAAACAUAUCAGAGCCAGGAAAAAAAUAUGCCGUGGUCGUUUCCAGUAUAAGAGUCUUGCACCUGUGAGAGUGAGAGAGAUCUGUAGCUCGCUCGAAGAACAAAAUUGAGAGAGAACGAAAGAGAGUGAGAGAUGGUCUUCUUCUUCACUUUCUUUCCUGCGGCUUUCCUGAUUUUCUUUGCUUUGAUCCUUCGCUCUAGCUAGAACUUUAGCGUGGUGUGCGCAAGCUCUCGGGUUUCCAGUAUAGGAAGGAAAAAAGUUCUCUUAUGCAGUGGGCUUUAGUUCCUUCUCUUUUCGACUUGUGGUUCGUGGCCCCGUUUCCAGUACAUGAAAUCUCUUAUAAGUUCCUUGGUUUCUCUGGUUUUCUUUCGUCUUGUAUUGGUCGAUCAUGCCUCGCAUCAAUAAUUCUGUUAGAUCGUCCAGGGUAGCACCUGCACCUGCACCUGCCUCUGGCAUUGCGGCGCCGCCGUACCCAAUCGCCGCCGCCCGUCGGCCAAUAUCCAUCGCAUCGAGAGUUGCUCGCUACGGAGAUACUUACGAAGGGAUUCCGGAUUGAUCCGGAUUCUAGUGACGCGCCCACGGCCCCGAAUCAAGAAGAACAUGCGGCGUGGGCGUUCGGCGCGCAAGGGCAAACCUUCAGCUUCUCCAAGGCCGGAACCAGCUCGCCACCAAGCUCUGGUCUUUCCAGCAGAUUCCGCACCCACCAUACAGUGCUAGCCGAUCAUGAUUCAGCAGCUCCUCUUGAUGAUGAUGAUGACCCCGCGGCCUCAUUGACAUCGCCCCCGGUACCUUCAGCAGCGUCCCAGGCGCCAAGCUAGCGAUGGCAAGAUGAGGAACCAACGAGCUCGAGUUCUUCAAGCGAUGGUGAGCCGGGUGGUGAUCAUCCAAUGACCGAGGAGAAGGCCACCACUCGGACUAAGACCAAGCGACCUCCAAGUGGCAGAUCGAGCUCUAAGAUCAUCAAAAGUUCGAAGAUGGCUCGAAAGGUUUUAUCAUCCAAGCAGGAAGAAAAGAGCAGGAAGAGGAAGCCGCCGACGUGCGCACGGAGAUACACUAAAAAGACGUCCCGUUUGGAGUCUCGUUCUACAAGCGAAUCCAGCGGUGGGAGAUUCACCUUUGGUGAGUAUGUUCUUCAAAAGAAGAUUUUAGAUUUGUCACACUGAUUUUCUCGUUUUCUUGGUGAUCAGGGGAAACAAGCAAAUGUAUGUUGGUUCAUGCAGCACUGAGGAAGCCGGAGCCAGGUUAAUUUGUUUAUCUUCUUCUUUUUCUAUCUUUAUUAAUGACAGUGACCGAGCUUACACCAAGUUCCGUGGCCAAAACUGCCCAAACUUCCCCUACUCGGACUACGUGGACGAGAUCCCCCACGUACGAUCAUAUUAACAUUUCCAUCAAAGUGAUCUAACACUUGGGGUUUUUCUGCAGUGGAUCAAUCUGUCUGACAAAGAAUCAUCUACAUGCUACGUAACAUGAAUCGCGGUGAGUCGUUGCUCUGAUUUACACCCGAACUUCUUGGAGGUGACGCUGGCUCUCCAUGCACGACGGAGACUCUGCCUCGAGCAUCAAUCUAUCGCUGAGUCUACCGUCUCAAAAAGUCAGAAAGUCAAGAAGUCUCUUGGGCGCCUUCCAUAACGUAAGUAACCCUUAUCCCUCUAAAUUUGACCAUGUAGCUACCUGGAUGUGAGACACAACGUUGCCUGGAUUUCACUUUCCAAAGCCAACACCCAAGCUUUCGAUUCUAACACUUUGUUUUUCAUAUUUGGUGUAGGCUGGACUCUCGUACGUUUCAACUGGAUGAGUCUUUCAUUAUAUGUUCCAAGAGCUGAACUUUGAUAUUUCGUUUUUGUUUGUUUGUUUUGUUUUGCAUUUCCAGGGUCAUGUAAGACACAAGAGGAGGCAGCAAGGUUCAAGAAAAACUCAAACCUCACUCGCUAAUUAUUAAGAAUCUAAAACACAGGAGUUAUGACUGAGCAGUCAUUAGAUUCUUUGGGAAGGCUAAAGCACUCAGCUUCGCAUAUGAAGACUACAUGGAUGAGAUGCCUUAGGUGAUUUUUUUUUUGCAUGUCCUGAUUGAGAAACUAAAACGAUAUUACAGUGGAUCACUUUGAGCAAGGAAGAUUUUAUUUCCUACAUACUACACACUUGAGCAAGAAAAGGAAGGUAAAGGUACAUACAGCUCAAAGAGCUGUAUACCAUAGGAAGGUGAAAAAGAGGAGGAUGAAUGAUUGUGUGGUAAACGAAGCAAUGCCACACUACAUAGAUGAGAAGAGGAUCGGUGAUUCUGUGGUGAAUGAAGGUUGGGCUUAAGGAAGUACCAAGCAUAUUAGAGGAAUGAACGCUGUGGGUGCAGUGGAGGAGUUUAAUUUGGAGAAAGACACUUUGGAAAGACACAUAGACUGCCAAACUCUCAUAUGUCAUUGUCCAUGAAUAAAUCCUAGCAUGAGAACUCUACAAGAAGCAGCUAUGUCACAAAGAGAGGGAUGCUUGACGCCCAAGAAUACAUCCGCGUAGACUUCAACACUUGCAGCAUUUUGCAGCGAUGAUGUUAAACCAUUGAACUUGUGGCUUGGAAAUCUGCGUAGUGCUCAACGUGUCUCUCGAGAUGUGCUUGAUGAGGCAGUUCCUGGGUAGGGCGAGCACGUUCCUGCCCAGAACGGGCGAGCCGGGCGUUAGCCCGGCGAGCGCGUUCUGGAGGGAACGAGCGAGGCCGUGCCCGGGAACGGCCUUAACGGGCUGUGGCGAGACCGUUAAUGGACACGUGUAAUAACGUUAUUGGAGGAUGAGAGGGUUCUCCAGAACCUCGCGGCUAGCAGCUGAGUUCUGGAGAACCUGGCAGUUGUCAGCCACAUUCUCCAGAACCUGAUAAAAUUCUCGUAGAGAACCUGACUCGAUCCAACGGCUGCCAACGGCUGGAUCAAGUUAACGGGUGAGCCACAGCCCGUUAAGAUAUGAUCUAACUCUCUCCGUUUUCUUUCUACCAGGUGUAUACGCUGCUUCUUCCACGUUAGCAUGUUAACUAUCCUCUUCUCAUGCAAAGAUUUCAAACUAAAUUUACGACUUUUUCCAGAGUUCUUCAGGUAAAGGUGUUCCCAUUUUCCUGGACCAGCUUUUUGAUGGCUACAGGAAAUGGUGUUUGCAAGUGGUUCUACAGCCCGAGCCAAGCAGAAAGAAUCGUCUAAUGAGAGUUCCAGAAAAAAACGGCUUGGCUGCCAUAAGAGAGCCUUGUACAGGAGGAAUUCCUUUUUGACGAACCGAUCUUUGUAUCUGUGCUUACACUUUCAGUUCAGACGCUGGCUACUCUGAAUUUCAGAUUUGUCCCAAAACCAGCAGUAUGGGCGUAUGGAAGUCUGGUCGUUUUCGAAGCCAGCGACAAGAUCACGGAGCUCGCGUUUCCUCCCUUCCAAUCGAAUCACACCCUGGGGGUCUUCACCAUAUCGCUCAGUCGCACUUUCUAUGACAUGAAUAAAUCCCAAGUUUGCGACUUUGGUCUCCAUGAAUCCCAGACUUCGAUCUUGUGUUCUUCCGUCGCACCAGAACUAAUGCUGCAAUCGCUGGGAGUUAGCUCUAGAAUGCGAUCAGCGGCUCGUUUUCCAACGUGCAGAUUGUUGGAUUCGAGCACACCGUCCUCUACAACGCCAAUUCCGGCAUACAUCCUCGGCCUCCUCAAGUGGCUGAGCAUAUCUGAGAUCACUACAUUUUGCUCGAAAGUUGGCCGCUUGCCAACGUGGUGCUAGACUACAGGCGUCGAGGAUUGUAAGAAAAAUGGCUAUAUCAACCAGCAAGAGGUCUAGCUCCUCCUUGUGAUGUCCAUUUUGGCGAUCUUCCGAAGACCCUACCGCAUAUUCUGAUUCUAUAGAAUAUCCAGAUCGUGAUGGGAUGGAUACCAAGGGCUUCUAUGCCAUCGUGUGGUGGAGCCACAAUACAAGCUUUCAACCAUCUUUACGUGUAACAGUUGCAGCGAAAUUCUACAACUGCGUAUGGGAUGGAAUUCUACACUCCCACAUCACUUAUUUACAUCAAACCAUGAACUAAGAGAACUUGUGUUCCUGUCUCUGAUUGAGCGCUCUCGUCCCUUCUCUAGUGAUGUGGCUUUCGGUUUUGACCCAAGUUCAACAGUGACUAUAUUCGAUCGGAGGUUUGUAUAGAUGUUUGUACACAUGCAAAUUGGUAGAUGUAUCCGUUAACUCCGUUCAACCAAGCACAAUAAUUCCCAGGCAGAUGGUGGAUUCUGAUUGUGCUGCGCAUUUUUUGGGCGUGGUCACAUGCUCAAGGCCCAGAUUUCUGAUGGCAUAUGACCAUUUGUUGGGGGGCGGGGGAGGGUCUCGCUUGCUGACCAGGAGACAAGUCAGCGUGGAGAGUUAUAUGUAUGGACACGAAUCCAGCGGCCCUGAAAGCCAUGGUGCGUACGUUUAAGUGGGCAGCUGCAUGGCUUCAUAUCGAAGGCGGUCGUCAUGGGCAGCCCUGAUACGCUACACUAGAGAAAUCAGCUGAUUCAAUAUGUAUAAAUCGGUAGUAAAAGUCAGUUGAAAUCAGCAAUGAAAUGCAAGUUAAUGUGCUACUCUAGGGUUUUCCCACAGACGGCCACUUGACCAGACCAGGUGUGCUAGGUGCCAUGAUUGGUGAGGAGAGGCAGCAAAUCCAGGUAUGGAGCUCUCUGGAAUCUCCCAAAAUCCUGUUAUUCCUUGUUAUGGAGACAAGUGAUGGCAAGUCUCCAUGGCAGCAAACCAGCCAAGUCAUCCAUCAACCGCCAAAGCAAUGGAUUUUCUACACAUAAAAUUUAGAUAUCUACAUGGUAUCAUGUUUGUUUCAAUUUAGUAAACACAGCAACAUGACGAGCAAGAAUGUGCUAGUGCUCUCACAGCAGAGGGCGGAGCAGCUAAUCCAAAAAUGUAUGUGAGCACAGCAUGAACCCAAUCCUUGCCCUUGCCAAUCUGUGUGCAUGGCGCGUGGGCAUCCCUUCCAAAGAUUCCCACUGCCUCCUCCCCCUUCUCUUACUCUUUAGCGGUUUUCUUUAGUAUUAAUGGCUUCUAGCACUCCACUCCACCUCACACUACACCUGCUUGAGCCACCCCAGUGAGCACGGCAGUCACUUUGGCUGGCAGCUAGGACACAAGAUGGGAGAAGAAGUUCACAGCAAGAACUUCAUGACAUGGAACACUAAAGUCCAAUUCAUUUUGAUGGCUAAAGAUUGCUAGGACUUAGUCAAGGGAAUUGAAGAAGACUUCCUGGCACUAAUGCCACUUUGUAGCUUAUCUGGACUCCAAAAACUUCAAAGCUGGUGACUGGACUAGGCUUUGGAGAUGAAUUCAAAUGCCAAACUAGUUCUCACCCAAACUGGUUGCAACAUAUGUUUGCAAUAGCUCAAGGAAGUGGGGGGCACAACAGUCUUACAUGAUUAUGCAAAAGCUUUCUUUCUCUACUCUGUCUCCUUAGAGUUGUAACAAUCAUCUUCCAUACUCUCAUUCGUCCCAUGCAAAACCAUAAAGGAGCUCUACUCUAAUAUGCUCAAGGAAGAGCACUGAGUAUAAAGCUAGCAAUUCCCUUUAGGCUGCUCAUAAGUAACCCUUGUUUCUUGGCAAAAAACUAUCGAGUGGGGAGCAGAAGAAAGGAGGCAGGGCCUCAUGGCUUUCUUAUAGUUUUUUCUCCAAGAAGAAAAAAGGUCCUUAUUGUGUAAAGAUGAGAUAUAUAAAGCAUGAAUGUAUGCAAAGAAGGCUACACCCAACACUUGCGUACACAGAGCAAUUUAUUGUUGAUGAUGGCUUUUCCCCCAUCACUGGUGUUUGUUCUAGAGGUGUCAUAACUAGAUCACACGACUCCCUUGAGGUUUGUAUUUCACAUUUAUAAACCUCUCCACAUUCCACAAUAGGUUUAUGUUGGUGACAACAUGGCAUGGUGGUGGUUAGACUUUCAGAUGGACCUCUUAAAGAAGUUCAUCAUGUUCACUUUGUUCCUAAAGCUAGAUAAACUAUUCUUUCCAUAGGUGCAGCAUAGCAUCAAGGCUUUACCACCACUUUCUUUGCAAAAGGGUGCACAUCUUAAACUCUUUAUUGUUUAAAUAAGCAUAAAAAACCAUCAAGUUGUGGCAUGCUUGUAUGGGGCAUGUCAAUGAACAAGAGUUGCACACUUACUUUGUCAAGAAUUAUGGAGGAUCAAGUUACAAGUUUGCUAGAUCUGGUUCACAAAAACAUGUGUUACCUACUUGUGGAAACAUACAUACUUUGUGUCUUUUAUCAAUGACCAUUCCAAGUAUGCUGUGGUGAGUCUCUCCACACAAAGAGUGAAGUUUUUGACCACUUUAAGCUUUCCAAGUCUAUUUUGUAAGUGUUAUUUACAACCUUUUAACAUCUGUAUUGGUUUCUGGACCAUUGAGAGGCAAUGUCCUCUUUGAUCCAUGAACUCCAUCCUUCUGUCACCUCAUUGUUUAGCAGUUUCACAUGACAUUUGACUUUUUAACGUUGAGAAAGUCAGCGAGUCAUCCGGAACUGACCGUGUUUAUCCUUAUAAGACGCGGUCAAUCCCGCACUCAGCACAUCAAAGUUCACACAAAAGCUUCUGCAAGUUUCUCUAGGCAAGUCUAAAAAAGUUCUAAAGAUGGCGAGGAACAAGAUGCUGCUGGCGAUGUUUGUGGUGCUCCUGGUGGGAGUUGACAUUGGAGGAAUUGCAAGCGCGAGCGCCCAGGGGCGAUGCAAGCCAGGGUGGCACUGGGAUGGGAAGACGUGCGUCUCUUGCCCACCCCGCUGGUACUGGUACAACAAUUCUUGCCAGCGAUAUCGAUGCCCGCACAAUUGGUACUGAUACUUGGGUUCUUGCCACCGCUGCCCGACCAACUGGUAUUGGUAUGGGAACUCUUGCCACCACUGCCAGAUGGGCUGGCGCUGGAUUGGAAGUUUCUGCAAGAAGAAUUGAAGUUGCCCAUCAAGAUCCAAGCUUAUAUAAGACUAGCACUUGCCCAGCAUAUGCUGCCCAAUUAGCAAAAUACUUUUUUUUAUAUUAAAAAAUAAAUUGGAAUAGUAUAAAAAAAACAAAUUGUGUUCCACUUUGAAAGAAGAAUUUGAUAAUAUAAAUAUUUAGAACAAAAUAUAUUCCUAGGCAUAAGUAAGAAGAAAUAUCCAUUAAUAAAAAUAAUAGAUAAAAAUUAUUAUUUGGAAAUAUAAAUAUAUUUAUAAAAAUACCCAACCCAGAAAAAGUAAAAAUAAAAUUUCUAUUAUUAUAAUAUGUUAUAUGUAAAUUAUAUUUUUAGUUGGGAUAAACUUAAAUUAAAAUUUUAUCAAAUAGAAGAGAAUAAUUACUAAGAAUAAUUAUUACUCAUUUUUAUUAGCAAGACAUUACUUAAUUAUAGUUUUUACUUAGAAUAUAAAACAAUAAGUUUACAUUAAUAUAUUACUACCCAGAUCUUGUCAUGAAAAUAAUUACUAAAAAAUACUUUGUAAAUAUAUAUGCUAUAGAAACUGUAAUUCCAUAGUAUUAUGUACUAUUAUUAGGUUUUGAAUUUAUGUUACAGGUUUCAAGAACCCUAAUGGGGCGAGCACUUCACUCGCAGAAAAUGAAGAGAAAGAUGCCAGCUCAUCCACCCCAGUGCCUCAGAUACAUCAUAUACCAUAUUCCUAGGCUUCCCAGCAACGACACAACCACCUGGCUCAAGGACCAUGGAUUCGAGCUCCUCCACAAGGCCUUUUCAACACACCCAGACCAAAAACUGGCAAGGAAAUUGGCUGCCUCCUUCAACCCCAAGAACAGCACCAUAACCGAUGGCACCAACGAGAUCACCCUCAGCCCAGCAAGAAUCGCCUUUGUUUUCAAAAUCUCCAACAAGGGACUGCUCAAAUUUUCAGGAGAAGUUCCACAGCAAAUCAUCAAGGCCAAUCGAGAAAUUACCAGUGAGCUCACAUGGGAGGACAUCCAGGAGCAGCAUAUGGAUUGCCUCAAAGCCCUCCUCCUCUACUACGAACUUUGCCCAACAGACCGCACCAUCGGCAAGCGCACAGCAGAAGUCUACGGAGCUCUACUCGAUGGCAAACGUGUGAACGUGGCUCAUCAUCUCCACAAGCUCCUUCUCAAGCUUCUCGACUGUGCCAUCCUCGCCACACUCAACCAGAAGACCAUGCGGACAGUAAUCUUCCCAAUGCUGAUUGCUCUACACCAAGCCCUUCCCAACAAGCAACCGUGGACAACCCAAACAAACUCCACAGAACAAAGUGACAGCUCUGAAGAACACUUAGAAUCAGAAGGAGCAACUCCCAGCAAAAAACUGAAGCCAGCAUCUCAACAAUAAGGCUCAACUCACUCCAACAACACCAGCUCCAGCAACAAACACUCCAACAAUUCAACUCCACUUCGCUGCCACCUCACACACAAAACACCAACGAAUCCAGCUCCAAAACCGCUGAUCCAAGAGCACCUUGUCAUCAGCGACAAUGAAGACAACUCACACCACCAUCCACACUCACCCCAGAGCCCACAUCCACUCGAAUCAGCCCCAAAACCGACAACUUCUCCUACAUCGCCAAAGGAAAACGUCAGCUGCUCGCCCAGAACUCAGUUUCUCCACCAGCUGAGAACAACAUUCUCACCGCCCCAACCUCCUUGACACGUUCCACAAAAGAAAACAUUGACUACCUUCGCCAAUCACUUGAAGAACACACAACCAUGCCUCCUCCAGCAAAUACCACGACCAGCAUUAACAAAAAUUCCGCCCUUUCAACAAAAUUCCAAGCGAAAAAUUUCCCAACGGAUAAAUUAAUUUCAGUGCCACAUCUGGGCCGUUCAUCCACCAUCAAACUGAAAAGCUCAUGUCCAACCACCUCAAAGAAUCCGGACCGACCACAUCACCCACAUCCAACAAAGCAGAUUCAACCUCCAGCAACUUCAACUCCCGGGACCAAGAACACAGCGAACCCUAGCGGGAACCACCAGGAUCACGGAGCAGGAGCAGGAGCAGCAGCCAUGCCUCAGCCACAGAGUCAGGUAUGCCGUGAUUACAAUGAAAUCAGGAAGGAGUACGAAGAUAAACUCUGUGACCCAAGCUACUGCACCCGCAAGUUGUUUGAAGCCCUUGAUCAACGCAUGCACCGCGAGCAAGCAAACCACCUCCCAACACCAGCCGAUAUCGCAUAGCAUCUUCUCAAGCAAGACUCCUUCAUAUACACCCGAAGAGCUAUCAAGAAGGAGUUCUAUGAGCCUUUAAACCACUGGCUGGAUACUUAGCUCGAAGAGAUGAAGCAGGUACGCACUGGGGACAUUAGGAAGAUUGUCUCCAAGAAGCCAUCAACCCCAUCAGCAGCUCAUGAAUUCACCUACAAAUUCAAAUACGAAUAGCUCAACACCUGCUACCGGAAGCUCGAGGAUGAUCAUACCGCCCUCCUGGCUGAGGUAGCCGACCUCCAGGAAGAUGGGACAGAGCCACCAGACGGUGUCCCCAACCACGAGCUUACACUCCCACAGCAAAAACGUCGCCUCUAUCGACUGGAGCAGCAGCAACAACAAGCGAUGGAGACAAACUAUGUUCGCACUGAGGACGGUGUUUAGUUCUGUCAGGGGAGCAGAGUGUAUCAACAAAAAACCUAAACUCAGGGGAUUUUGACCUUGAACCCAAGGCUGCAUUGGAGCCAUAGAUUAACUGCUAGCAUAUACUAUAUGCUGUGCAUAAUUUAGAACCGCUAACUUUUCAAAGGGGGGAAUCCAAAUUGUGGAUCCCUAUCUCCAUUCUAUCAUUUUUCUUAUCAAUACUCAGCAUUUUCUUACUCAUGCUUCUUCUCAGCCCUUGGAGAUCGGGCCCUUUUUUCUUUUGUUUUCUUACUAAUAGUAGAUUUCCAGCGAAAAGGAGUUUUCACACCUCUUCAAGUGCUUGCUUGCUAUGCCUGUGCUGGGGAUACGAGGAGAUCAUAGGAUUCCAGAUAUCCUCCUUCACAUGACGAUAUAUUUGCGAAGAACACAUCAACGCAAGCGAAGCACUCUUGAGCUUCUGACCAAAGGUCCACACUUGGAGUACAUGGUGCCAAGCAAGCACUCAACACGUGGUGCUGUCGAUCGCCUGGAUGGAUCUGGGGAGCACCGAGAUCUCGAUGCUCGUUCCGAGCAUAUGCUGCGAUCAUGAUGCUCCACGAGAAGAGAUUCCUCUCCGGGGUCAUGUCGAAGAUGGAUCUGGCCUCAUCGAGGCGGAGGAGAGGGGCAUAACCGGAUGGAAUUGCGCAGCUCUCCUGGCUGGAAAUUCGCUCAAUUGAUCUCUCCAGAUCUAGUUGAUGGAAUAUAGCUUCAUUUGCAAUUUAUUUUGGCUUUUGUUUCACACUAGAUGAUGUUUUCUUUGUUAUUGACUUGGCUCGGGCUGAACAAUCUUUGCAUGAGAAGAGGAUAGCUUACAUGCUACCUGGAGUUUCACAGCUUGUAAAUGGAAGAAGCGUGAAGGGCAGCAUAUACACCUGGAAAAGAGAAAGAAACAUAGAGAGUUAGAUCAAUGGAGAAUGUCAUCAAGCGCACUUUGAGCCACACAUUGAGCUCUACAUUGACAUUUAGCUGCUUUUCCAAGCCCCAAGUUAAAUGGUUUAUCAUCGAAGCUGCAAAAUCCCACACAUAAAGACAAACUUUCCUUCAGUACAUAGGAGAUAGUAGCUACGCACACAAACCUGAGAAAUACUGGUUUUGCUUCUCAACAAGCUCCGAGCCCUCAAGACGAUAAAAAAAACCUGGCUCUGGCUUCCUUGGUGCUGCAUGAACCUACAUACAUUUAUUUGUUACCAAGAAAAUGAGAAAAUAAAUCUAAAAUCUUAGAACAUACUCACCAAAGGUGAAUCUCCCACCAUUUGUAGAACGAGACUCCAAUGUAGCAGGAUGUCUUUUUAGUGUAUUUCUGCACAAGAUCAUAAAGGCAGUAAACCUUUAGAAUGAGUGUGAUGGUCUUUUGGCUCCUGGGAUCUAGUUUCUGCCAAGUUGCAUUUGAAAUGUGAGCAUACACUGUACAGAUGAAGACCCUCAAGUGCCCCAACCGAGGGUGCUUCCCAGGCAGGUCAGUUUUUAUUAGAGUACAAUUGAGUUGCUCUGCCAGACCGUUCUACUGGGGAGUAUAGGAUGUUGUAAUGAUGCAAUUGACUUGAAUUACCUCAAACAAUGGCUGGCCUUGUCCAGAGAUGAAUCUCUCUUGUAGUAAUGCCUUCUGUUGCGAUCAUAGAGGGCAUCUUGGCUGGAAGCAAUAUGCACGUGGAAUCCUUCCCGAGCACACAAUCUACGCCACUUCCCCUUUUUUAACCUUUCAUAGCACUUUCAAAACAAAGUUUUUAUGAUUUAAGCCUUACUUCGUGUCACCUGAGGAGCCUCUCUCACCCCAUUUCUUCUCCCAAUAAGUUUGCGAUUUUAUUUAAAUCAGAUUUAAAAUCAUAGGACAAUUCAUUUUGUGCCUCCAAUUUUGUUAGUUCUUGAUGCAGUGGCCCUUGCUCCAUUUCCAGCCAAACUGGCAUUGGUGGCACUUCUUGUUGUACCAGUACCAGUUGCCUGGGCAACUCACGCAUUUGCUUCCACUCCACUUCCAUCCGGAGAGGCAUUGGUGGCAAUCGCUGCUAUACCAGUACCAGCCUUUGGGACACUGGAUGGAGGAUUUGAGGCUGAGUCUAACACUGCUAUGUACACGAUUUUUACUGCUUCUCGGGCACGAUAUGUCGUGUUUGUGCUUCAUUGACGGUCAAUAAACAAGUGUACGACUUUAUCCAAAUGAACAACCUCGAGUUUCGAUGUGAAAUUAUCAAAAAUAUCCAUAAAAAUGUCUAUCUAUCUAAUUGCGACCAAUCACUAUUUUAUAUGAAUAUAAAUUGAGUUGCUAACUGGCUCAUAUGCAUUCAAAAAUAUGGUAAUGUUUUUAAAAGUGAACGCACUUAUUGAGUGACACGUAUGUGGUGGAGAAAAGGCCUCAAGCUUCUAAACAUUCCGAAAAAAUUUAUGAAAUAUUAGAAAAUGAAACUCAAGCAGCAAGGCAGGAUGAAAUCUCUUCUGAUUUUGUUGUGAGGAAAUUGGACUUAGAAUGGGACGACACAGUUUAUUUACCAAAAGGUUAUUACAAUUGGCUAUUAUACAAGUUUCAGCAUGGAUCUUGAUGGACAAUUCAGCCCUUAUAGAACCUUCCAGUCCAGCGCCAGCCCCUUUUCGCAUCUGUGGCAACCGAUGCCAUACCAGUACCAACAGAGCAGCGGUGGCAAGAACAUGGUAUUCCAGAACCAGUACUCCGGGCAUCGGUGGCAGGAAUUGUUGUACCCCAGUGCCACCCCGACUUGCAUNNNNNNNNNNNNNNNNNNNNNNNNNNNNNNNNNNNNNNNNNNNNNNNNNNNNNNNNNNNNNNNNNNNNNNNNNNNNNNNNNNNNNNNNNNNNNNNNNNNNACCGCCUCACGCUCUUCUUGUUGCUCGCCAGUUUCUUAAAACUCUCCUCUUGCCUCUGUCUCGACUUGCAAACGAUAAGAAACUUUGAGAAACUCGAAGCUUGAAGUGUUGGAUGGGAGGAUUUACAGUUCUAGGCGGUGACCACGUCUUACAGUGACCACGUUUAGUUCAGGGCUACUCAUUGACAAUAUCUACGUUAAAAAGUAAAAUGUGAAGCUGUGAUACAAUGCGGCCUUGGCUUGGACUGGGUACUGAUUGAUCCAGAUUUGGUCCUCGCGUUUGAGACAACACAAUCCUGUGGGGAAGGAUGGAAACCAAGUGAACUAGAAAAUUCACGUAAACGUUUCUUGAAGUUUACCUCAAACAAUGUCUAAAAGAUGCCAUAGACACUUCUCUGGUAGCUUCUCUUGUACUGAAGCCUUCCUUUGUGUUCGGAGUAUCUUGGUUGUAAGUAAAAAUCAGUCGUAGAAUGCAGCUAAUUAUUCACGCAGGAUAAGUUAAAUAAAUGUUAAAAAGAAAGAAAGCAGGGCAGUCUGAGGCCAGGAGUUCGAGCCUCACAUCUUUCAUAUACUUUCAUAACGAAGCACCACGUCGCGCCCCGAGGGAAUGCACUCGUCAAAGAUGGCCACAGAGAGAUCCGUUAUCCCGGCGCGCGUAUAGGCUCCCAUCAUAACUGUCCAGGAGAUCGUGUUCGGCUGGGGCAUAGCGCGGAGCGAAGUAAGACAGCUAUGCACACGGUUUUUACUGCGUCUCCGGCACGACAAGUCGUAUUUGUGCUUGCUUGACGGGGUCAAUCCAAAUGAAACAGUCUCUAUUUAAGUCCCGUGAAAUCAUCAAAAGAUAAUGGAUCUUUGUUUUACCUGAGUUGCUAAUGCAUUAAAAAAUAGGAUAACAUUUUUACGAACCGUAAUUUCUUGUUGGGUAUUUAAAGUCCACUCAGAAGCAAGAACUAAGAAAAAGUAAACUAAACUAAACUGGCUAAACUAAGAAGCAUGGGACUUUAAUUCACAUUUCUCUCUCAUCUCUUGUCUACUCAGAGUAUGAAACUCAGCAGCGGAAGACUUUGGUAUUUCGAUAAUCUUGCUACUCGAGUUGCUAGAAACUAAAAGUGAAACUGGCAGCAAGUCUCUCAUCAAGCGGAUUCUGGAUGAGGAAACCGAGCCUUAGAAUGGGAAAGAAAAACACACACAUUUUAUUCACCAAAAGGUUAUCACAAGAAACAACACAACCACAACAUUUAUUGUCGUUGACAUAUUACAUGAGCUAAUCUUGAUAGGCAGCUUCAGUUCUUCUUGCAGAAACUUCCGGUCCAGCGCCAGCCCAUCUGGCAGUGGUGGCAAGAGUUGCCAUACCAGUACCAGUUGAUCGGGCAACGGUGGCAAGAGUUGCCAUACCAGUACCAGUUGAUCGGGCAGCGGUGGCAAGAACCCGAGUACCAGUACCAGUUAAUCGGGCAGCGGUGGCAAGAACCCGAGUACCAGUACCAGUUGUGCGGGCAUUGGUGGCAAGAAUUGUUGUACCAGUACCAGCUUGGCAGGCAAGAGACGCACUUCUUCCCAUCCCAGUGCCACCCCGGCUUGCAUCGUCCCUGGGCGCUCGCACUUGCAAUUCCUCCAAUGUCAACUCCCACCAGGAGCACCACCACAAGCAUCGCCAGCAGCAUCUUGUUGCUCGCCAUCUUUUUUAAGAACGCCUCUUGCUUUGAUGUGAUCCCAGACUUGUGAACGAGAUCGGAGAAAGCUAGAGAAACUUGGAGGAGCUUGAGUGUGAGCUUUGAUGUGCUUGAGUAUGGGGUGGGAGGAUUUAUAGCGCAGGAGAGCGUGUUAUAGUUCCGGAUGACUCGCUGACUUUUUCGAAGUUGAAAAGUAAAAUGUGAAGCCGUGCAGAUACGGAUGUAGACCUUCGACCGUGUCAGGCGCAAAGUCAGACGUUUUGGGUAUUUGUGCUUUCAUUGUAGUAAAAAACAUUAAUGUUUUACAACGUCUGGAGUAAAAUGGGUUUGCCAAAACAUAAUUCUUGCAAAUGCUACGCUUGAGAAUCUUUUAGAUUCAUGACUAAUGGGGAAUGUUAUUGAAUGAAUUUCUUCCGCUUUUAAUAAGCUCAGCUCCCAGACUGCAUUUUACCUGGAUUUGCCUGUGCAC
This 19671-nucleotide long non-coding RNA is filed under the name Selaginella moellendorffii. RNAcentral's name for it is "long non-coding RNA (SMOE_LNC000703)". The record is from RNAcentral. Lineage: Eukaryota; Viridiplantae; Streptophyta; Lycopodiopsida; Selaginellales; Selaginellaceae.